This 253-nucleotide ribosomal RNA is filed under the name uncultured bacterium. Its description in RNAcentral is "partial 16S ribosomal RNA". It matches the Rfam family "Bacterial small subunit ribosomal RNA", at positions 524 to 776 of the family's 1533-position model. The record is from RNAcentral.
UACGUAGGUGGCAAGCGUUGUCCGGAAUUACUGGGCGUAAAGCGAACGCAGGCGGAUGGUUAAGUAAGAAGUGAAAGGUCGGAGCUCAACUCCAACACUGCUUCUUAUACUGGCCGUCUUGAGUCCCGGAGAGGAAAGCGGAACUGCACGUGUAGCGGUGAAAUGCGUUGAUAUGUGCAGGAACACCAAUGGCGAAGGCAGCUUUCUGGACGAGGACUGACGCUCAUGUUCGAAAGCCAAGGUAGCGAACAGG